RNAcentral lists this long non-coding RNA (251 nucleotides) under Lathyrus oleraceus (garden pea). RNAcentral's name for it is "Pisum sativum (pea) long non-coding RNA (PSAT_LNC014662)". Lineage: Eukaryota; Viridiplantae; Streptophyta; Magnoliopsida; Fabales; Fabaceae. The record is from RNAcentral.
AACUUUGUCAACAUGUUCAAAAUAUGAAGGAGACCGUGUAGUCGAAUUAUCAUUCGGUGUAGGUUUCAUUUUUUUUGGAGCACCUUUUGUUUUUACGGGUUGAGAGGGUGAUUUCAUGUUGGUGGUUUCCGAAUAGGCAAUCUUCCUAAAUUGUUCUUUGAUGUAGAGUUUCAUAUUGUCAUCCGCUUUCAAAAAUCUCUCUUGUAUUACUUUUCAUUUGGCUAAAAUAGAGAUAUUCAAUUUACCGUCAU